AGGGAUGUAGCUCAGUCUUAAGAGCAUAUGCUUUGCAUAUAUGAGGCUCUGGGUUCAAUCCACAGCAUCCAAA
RNAcentral lists this transfer RNA (73 nucleotides) under Marmota monax (woodchuck). Its description in RNAcentral is "tRNA.Ala". It matches the Rfam family "tRNA". From Rfam's summary of the family: Transfer RNA (tRNA) molecules are approximately 80 nucleotides in length. Their secondary structure includes four short double-helical elements and three loops (D, anti-codon, and T loops). Lineage: Eukaryota; Metazoa; Chordata; Mammalia; Rodentia; Sciuridae. The record is from RNAcentral.